RNAcentral lists this ribosomal RNA (497 nucleotides) under uncultured bacterium. RNAcentral describes it as "partial 16S ribosomal RNA". It matches the Rfam family "Bacterial small subunit ribosomal RNA", at positions 28 to 507 of the family's 1533-position model. The record is from RNAcentral.
GAUGAACGCUGGCGGCGUGCCUAAUACAUGCAAGUCGAGCGAACAGACGAGGAGCUUGCUCCUCUGACGUUAGCGGCGGACGGGUGAGUAACACGUGGAUAACCUACCUAUAAGACUGGGAUAACUUCGGGAAACCGGAGCUAAUACCGGAUAAUAUAUUGAACCGCAUGGUUCAAUAGUGAAAGACGGUUUUGCUGUCACUUAUAGAUGGAUCCGCGCCGCAUUAGCUCGUUGGUAAGGUAACGGCUUACCAAGGCAACGAUGCGUAGCCGACCUGAGAGGGUGGUCGGCCACACUGGAACUGAGACACGGUCCAGACUCCUACGGGAGGCAGCAGUAGGGAAGCUUCCGCAAUGGGCGAAAGCCUGACGGAGCAACGCCGCGUGAGUGAUGAAGGUCUUCGGAUCGUAAAACUCUGUUAUUAGGGAAGAACAAAUGUGUAAGUAACUAUGCACGUCUUGACGGUACCUAAUCAGAAAGCCACGGCUAACUACGUG